UUUGAUGGCGACCGGCGCACGGGUGAGUAACACGUAUCCAACCUGCCGAUGACUCGGGGAUAGCCUUUCGAAAGAAAGAUUAAUACCCGAUGGCAUAGUUCUUCCGCAUGGUAGAACUAUUAAAGAAUUUCGGUCAUCGAUGGGGAUGCGUUCCAUUAGCUUGUUGGCGGGGUAACGGCCCCCCAAGGCAUCGAUGGAUAGGGGUUCUGAGAGGAAGGUCCCCCACAUUGGAACUGAGACACGGUCCAAACUCCUACGGGAGGCAGCAG
RNAcentral lists this ribosomal RNA (269 nucleotides) under uncultured bacterium. Its description in RNAcentral is "partial 16S ribosomal RNA". It matches the Rfam family "Bacterial small subunit ribosomal RNA", at positions 84 to 354 of the family's 1533-position model. The record is from RNAcentral.